This 253-nucleotide ribosomal RNA is filed under the name Duodenibacillus massiliensis. RNAcentral's name for it is "partial 16S ribosomal RNA". It matches the Rfam family "Bacterial small subunit ribosomal RNA", at positions 524 to 776 of the family's 1533-position model. Lineage: Bacteria; Pseudomonadati; Pseudomonadota; Betaproteobacteria; Burkholderiales; Sutterellaceae. The record is from RNAcentral.
UACGUAGGGUGCAAGCGUUAAUCGGAAUUACUGGGCGUAAAGCGUGCGCAGGCGGUUGGGUAAGACAGAUGUGAAAUCCCCGGGCUUAACCUGGGAACUGCAUUUGUGACUGUCCGACUGGAGUACGUCAGAGGGGGGUGGAAUUCCGCGUGUAGCAGUGAAAUGCGUAGAUAUGCGGAAGAACACCGAUGGCGAAGGCAGCCCCCUGGGACGCAACUGACGCUCAUGCACGAAAGCGUGGGGAGCAAACAGG